AGGCAACAGGUUGAGUAAUGUUCUAACAUCUUUAUUCAUAAUACCUAGAAACAACCUGAAUGUCUACCAAGAGUAUAUUCAUAAAAAGAAACACCCUGAAGACAUGGACGCAAAGACUAAAAUAUGUUUUUUUUUUUUUUAAAGAUUUUAUGUUUUUCCUUUUUCUCCCCAAAGCACCCUGGUACAUAGUUGUAUACUCUUAGUUGUGGGUCCUUCUAGAAGGUUUGAUGAGCAGUGCCAUGUCCGCACCCAGGAUUCAAACUGAUGAAACACUGGGUCGCCUGCAGCGGAGCACGGGCACUUAACCACUGGGCCACGGGGCCAGCCCCUAAAAUAUGGGUUUUUUUAAAGCUAGAAUUAAAAAAACAAGUCAUAGAAGAAUGCAUACAAGAGGAUUCAACUUAUGGAAAGUUCAAAAAUAGGAACCUGCAAACCCUCCUGCCUCAAAUACUGUUUAGGGAAACAAACACAAGCAGCAAAACUAUAAAGAGAAGCAAGGGAAUGAUUAACAUAAAUUCAUGGUAGUGUUACCUUUAAAAGUAAUCUUGGGUGAUGAAAUUCAGGGAGAGCAUUUAGAGAGCUUCUAAGGUACUAGUACUGUACUCGUUCUCACUAAGAGGGGUGUGGGUUUUCAUUGUUUACAGGCAUACCUCAGAGACGUUACAAGUUCUGUUCCAGACCACCACAAUAAAGCAAAUAUUGCAAUAAAUCGGUCUUCACAUUACAGCUGGAGGGGUCGUGUUUUUAAAGGCUGCUCCCGCUGAAAUUCGCUGUGAGAAAAUAGAAGCAGAAAGAAUACUGCUUAACUCAUUCCAUGAGGCCAGCAUUACUCUAAUACCCAAACCAGAAAAAGACAUUACAAUUGCUGUCUAGAGGGAAGACGCAUGUCCUCCCUGAAAAAUGGAGAUGAUAAGAAAAGACACAUUUACCUCACAGGAUUAUUGUGAAGAUCAAAUAAAGAGGGUAUGAAUUGCGUAUGAUUGGGUAGCACCUGGAACCCUACAGCAGACUAGUUGUCAUUCUUCAGGAAGAAAGGGAACUUCCUGCUUUGUACUGGGACACACAGACUGGGACUUAUGGGGAGGCUGGCGAAGUCUCGGGUGCCUCCGGACGCUGACUUAUGAAGUAUUUGGUGCCAGAAUUGGCUCCGGGAAAUGACCGUCA
This 1164-nucleotide long non-coding RNA is filed under the name Equus caballus (horse). Its description in RNAcentral is "lncRNA (ENSECAG00000059047.1)". The record is from RNAcentral. Lineage: Eukaryota; Metazoa; Chordata; Mammalia; Perissodactyla; Equidae.